Molecule: non-coding RNA, 28 nt
Filed under: Cricetulus griseus (Chinese hamster)
Lineage: Eukaryota; Metazoa; Chordata; Mammalia; Rodentia; Cricetidae
Source: RNAcentral
AGAACUGGAAAGAAUAGCACUUGGAGUG